This 1719-nucleotide long non-coding RNA is filed under the name Equus caballus (horse). Its description in RNAcentral is "lncRNA (ENSECAG00000052860.1)". Lineage: Eukaryota; Metazoa; Chordata; Mammalia; Perissodactyla; Equidae. The record is from RNAcentral.
GGAAGAUGGCUAAGCACGGUAGUUUUCGACCAUCCCGGCCUCUUAUACAGAAGUCAGGAUUCAGAAGUAUCUGCAGAUGCUACUUUUAGCAACUGAAUAUUUCCAUGGUGGUAAAUAAAUGUCAGUGAAAUCUAUGCACUUUAAGAACAUCAAAUUCUUAUUAUACUUAUCAUGUGUGCAGGCAGAGUACAUAAUAAACUAGUCUAUAGCAGCUGUAAAUUUCUGAGGAUUUAUCUAACCACAAAUGCAUUGAAAUGGGGAAAUGGGGCUAUAUUAAACCAUGCAAGAUGCUGCUGGAGCUUUGCCAUUUCUGCAACAUCCUGUAAUUAAUUUAUCAUGACAGGUCUGGCAAACUGAAACAUCCAGUGCCCUUGCGACAGACUGUUCAACUAUGGUGGUUGGAGUUCCUGCAGUCACAUAAGGUGAAGCCUUGCCCAUUUCCUUUCAGAGGUUAGAGUGCCUCAGACUACAAACAAGGGGACCCAAGGGAGUCUGGGAACCUCGAAUCUGCAAGUUUCCGUGAGAGGGGAAAGUCCCAGGUGGAAGAGAGUGAGAUGGGUCCUGCUCACUGGGAACAGGUGAGAUGCCAGCGAGGGGCAGUGGCUCCUACCCAGCCACCAAAGGCUAACUAAACGCUUUAUGUUCUUCGUGUUUUCUCAAGUGAUUUUCUUUCUCUUUAUCCUUGCUGGUGAAAAUUGAUCCUCUUUCAGAGGACCUGAGAAGUUUGUUGCUUGGGCCUGAGUGUUUUUAAAAAAGCGAGCCGCAGAACUCCAAAGUGAAUGUGAACCCAAGGGAGAAGGGCAGGAGAGACUGUAGGAACGCUUUGUGUCCCUGCAUCCUCCCACCCGGAAGGCCCCUUCAGAGCUUGUCGACGGAACCUUUGGGAAUGGAGUGGAGAGUGUGUGUGUCCAAAAACUAAAAAAGAAGACCCCGUUUCACACACCCCAGUUAAGUAGCUGGUCCAGGACCACAGAAACCAGGGGCAGGACCCUGCCGCCUCCUACUGAUUCUCCCAUUCCUGCUGCUGUUUGCGGGGUAACAUUCUCACUUAACUUAAAGCCUCAUUAUUCAAUCCUAAUUCUGAAAAAGUCCUACAUUUUCUCAACAUCAUACACAACUACGAGCAGAUAUCCCACAUAGAGCAUGGUCUACAUUCAGAGAAAUGCCCCUGUCAAACUGGCUUAUUGCAAGUGAUGAGUUUGGAUGAGUAGGGGUUGAAACUAGGUAGGGAUGUCAUCCAGGCGCUAUCAGAGUCAGGAGUGACAUUUCUGUGCAUACAUGGGGAUGGGUUGGUUUCUUUGAUUUUUAGUUUUUUGCUAUACUGACAACAAUGCAGAUAGGGACUAAUUCUACUUACACAUCAAUAGCUGGAAUUAUUGACUACUUGCCUACACAUAUUUUAUAAUUCAGGCGUCAAUAGCUUUAAUACUUUUGAUGUUUUUUAAAGUAUGUGUGUUUGCGCACGUUCACUGACUCCACAGCUGGUUCCUGAGCACCUGUGUGUCAAGGCUGGCUGGGAACUGCGCACACAGUGGGACGAGGAGCUUCAAGUCUUCUGCUCUGUGUUUCCCCUUGAAAUUGUUACGUGUUUGUUGCCACUGUCCCCCUACAGUGGUGUUCAGAGGACCUGCAUGUACAGGACCAAACCUGAGCCUCACAACAGCCUUUAUUAGGCAGAAAAUGUGUUCUUCUCCCAUUUUUCAGACCACUCACAAGGAG